GAUGAACGCUGGCGGCGUGCCUAAUACAUGCAAGUAGAACGCUGAAGGAAGGAGCUUGCUCUUUCCGGAUGAGUUGCGAACGGGUGAGUAACGCGUAGGUAACCUGCCUGGUAGCGGGGGAUAACUAUUGGAAACGAUAGCUAAUACCGCAUAACAGUAGAUGUUGCAUGAUAUCUACUUAAAAGGUGCAAUUGCACCACUACCAGAUGGACCUGCGUUGUAUUAGCUAGUUGGUGAGGUAACGGCUCACCAAGGCGACGAUACAUAGCCGACCUGAGAGGGUGAUCGGCCACACUGGGACUGAGACACGGCCCAGACUCCUACGGGAGGCAGCAGUAGGGAAUCUUCGGCAAUGGACGGAAGUCUAACCGAGCAACGCCGCGUGAGUGAAGAAGGUUUUCGGAUCGUAAAGCUCUGUUGUAAGAGAAGAACGAGUGUGAGAGUGGAAAGUUCACACUGUGACGGUAUCUUACCAGAAAGGGACGGCUAACUACGUG
This 497-nucleotide ribosomal RNA is filed under the name uncultured bacterium. Its description in RNAcentral is "partial 16S ribosomal RNA". It matches the Rfam family "Bacterial small subunit ribosomal RNA", at positions 28 to 507 of the family's 1533-position model. The record is from RNAcentral.